This is an RNA transcript of Lagopus muta (rock ptarmigan), 4071 nucleotides long. It is a transcript of the gene named ADAMTS-like protein 2, with no coding region annotated. Lineage: Eukaryota; Metazoa; Chordata; Aves; Galliformes; Phasianidae. The transcript has 15 exons. The record is from RefSeq and is a predicted model, not a curated record.
AGAGGCCAGCAAAGCUGUGCUGAGACAGCCUGCGAGAGGCUCUGGUUCUGAAGCGCUCUUGAAAAUGACUUUUGUGACAGUCGCAGGGUGAAGAACUUGGACCUGAGCCGACUUAUGCACAAAGAAGAGUUUAUUCCCUGUGAUACAGCUCUGCCAAAGGACAGAUGCAUCCCCCCCCACCCCCCUUCUCUGCAGCCAGGCAUUGCAGCCUUCCUGCUGCUCCGUGCUGGCUGGCAGCUGGGCUGUGGGCUGCUGGUGUGGCUAAGCUGGGCUGGCAGUGAGCUUGCAGCUCAGGCUGCAGCCAGACUGAGUGCCACGCAUGUCAUACCCAGCAGCCUUUCUCCAUGCCACGAGAUCCCAGAGGCAUCCAUCCAUCCAUCCAUCCAUCCUCUGGAGUUAGGCCACCAGGUUCCCCAGCUAACCGUUCUCUGUUUCUGUCAGGACAGUAGUGAGGCAGCAGACGGAGCUGGCCCCUGGGAUGAAGAAGUUACCAAGUGGUGGGGAGAGUGGAGCUCGUGGUCCACCUGCUCGCGAUCCUGCGGCGGAGGCGUGAUGUCCCGGGAGCGGCACUGCCUGCGGCAGCGGCUCCAGAUGCCCCAGGGAACAAACAGCACCAUGUGUGUUGGCCAAGCCAAGCACUACCAACUGUGCCAGCAGCAGCCCUGCCCAGCCAACACAGCAAGCUUCAAACAACAGCAGUGCUCCAGUUUCAAUGCCAAAGCCUUUGGAAAGCGGUACUACCACUGGAUGCCCCUCUAUCCAGAUGACUACACCAGCAUCUCCAACAAGCCGUGUGACCUCCAGUGCACCACGCGGAAUGGAGAGAGGCAGCUGAUGGCCCGAGCCCAGGAUGGUACCUCCUGCAAGGACAGGACCUACCAAGGGGUCUGCAUCAAUGGGAAGUGCGAGCCAGUGGGGUGUGAUGGGAGCCUGUAUUCGGCCCGGACGAUGGACAGAUGCAGGGUGUGUGGAGGGGACGGCAGCACUUGUCACCGUGUCUCAGGCAGCUUCCGAAAGGCAAUCUCACAGAUAGGUUACGUGUUCAUCACCAGCAUCCCUGCCGGUGCCACGGACAUCCUCAUCAUGGAGCGCAGGAAGACAGAAAACAUCCUGGCGCUCGCUGAUGAAUAUGGGCAUUUCUUCUUCAACGGCAACUCUGCCAUUGACAACCCCCAGAACUUCAGGGUAGCUGGCACGAUCUUCAAGUACAGGCGGCCUUCGAGUCUGAAUUCAGAUGGGCUGGAGUAUAUCAUAGCUCACGGCCCCACUAACCAGUCUCUGAAUGCCAUGUACUAUAACUUUAAUGGGAAAAUGCCACAUAUAACUUAUGACUACACUGUACCACGGACACCACCACCUCUCCGAACUGCAGCCCCUGCUGUAGACAGACCUCGUUAUCAUCACCCAGUAGAGACCAGCCAGAGCCGUCCUGUUCCAGCCAACUUCAGAGCUGCCAAGGACUCCAAUGUCACACGGCUUUCCCUGUCACCAGAUGACACCAGCAAACAGCUUCCUCUAAAAGACAGGCAUGAAGAUUUAGGCUUCAGCCAUCCACACUUCUUCCACACCAACUCCACUAAUCACCCUCGGGGCUGGGGAUGGGAACAAGGUGAAGAAAAGGAGAAGUAUGAGUUCCACAUAAGACAGGUCUACCAUGCAAACACAGCAGGGGAGGAAGAACGAGAGGAAGCAGCAGCAAUUGGUGGAGAAACAGAAUUGGCCCUCAAAUUCAACCAGAUUUCCAUCAGCACAGCUGUACCCUACAGCAUGAGGAGGUCUGAGCUAUCAGAGAACAGCCGCGUCGCAUCCUCCAGGCUUCGGCUCUUCAGGAGGUUGUGCCACCAGGACCAGCACCACGCUGCCUUCUGCAGGGAGCUGCAGUACCUGGCUGCCAGGCUGGCCCAGAGGAACACCACAGUAGGACUAUGGGCUGAAACAGCUGCCCGGUGGCCACAGGGCCUCCACAAAGCACCGUCCCAUAAGAACUCACUGCAGGACUUGAAGGUGGAGAUGUUUGCUGGGAGACAGGGGAAAGCGAGCAACUACAGUGUGAUGGCAUCUGUGGAGAGCUCUCUGCUGGGUGCCAGCACAACGGAGGACAUCAGCCAGGCAGAGCCUCUGCGGGCCCCCGGCACUGAAAGCAAUGAGUUUGAUGUGAGCCCUGUGGGCCACGAUGACAUCAGCUUGGCUGACAUGUAUCGGUGGAAGGUCUCGGCUUAUGCCCCCUGCAGCUCCACCUGCACUUCAGCAGGUAUCAGUGCCUCCUAUGCAAUGUGUGUACGGUACGACGGAGUGGAAGUGGACGAAGCGUACUGCGAUGCCCUGACCCGACCAGAACCUACACAUGAAUUUUGUACAGGCAGAGACUGCCAGCCUCGGUGGGAAACGAGCCGGUGGAGUGAGUGCUCCAGGACCUGUGGCGAGGGCUACCAGUACCGCACCGUGCGCUGCUGGAAGAUGCUGGCUCCAGGCUUCGACAGCUCUGUUUACGAUGACCUCUGCGAGACAGCUGGGCUGGCCAGGCCCAUAGAAAGGAAAGCCUGCAAGAACAAGGCCUGCGGACCCCAGUGGGAGCUCUCAGGGUGGUCUGAGUGCUCAGCCCGAUGCGGCAGCCAGGGCACGAUGAAGAGGGCGGUGCGCUGCUCGGUGGAAGCAGCCCUCUGCGAUGAGUCCCAGAAGCCCAGCAGUGAGAAGGAGUGCACAGGGCCGCCCUGCGACCGCCGCUGGACCGCUUCCGACUGGGGCCCGUGCUCAGGUUCGUGUGGUGAGGGACGCAUAAACCGUUUCGUCGCCUGUCGCAACCUGGAGGGCAAGGUGAUCUCUGACACACAGUGUGACCCAGCUGCCAAGCCCCUGGCUGUCCAUCCGUGUGGAGACAAGGACUGCCCUGCACACUGGGUGGAGCAGGAGUGGGACCAGGUAAAGCCAAGCCCAGCCUUCCGUCCUCAGCCCUGUCCCACAGGAGGUGAUGGGCACUUGGCUCCCUUGGUGGAGCAAAGUUGUACAGUGUGACCACCAGCUGCAUCGUUGCUCCUUCCAAAAAGAGGGAAGAGGAAAAUACCCCAGCUUGUCCCCACCACACCCCAGUCUGUGGCACUUGUGGCCCUCCAAGCUCUCUGAGGUCCAGAGGUCUCUGGGAAGGCAGCAGUGUCUUAAGGAAGUCCUCCUCCUCUCCCACUUCUGGCUCCCAGCUGGCAGUUGUAGGCACCUCAGCAGAGCCCCAUCCAGAAUCUGCACUUACACCCCCAAGAUUUUGGUCUCGCUGCUAAAGAGAAAGCCCUACAAAAACCAACUGCAUCUCCAGUUAAUAAGAGCCAGAGGUAAGGCCUCAGCCCAGGCCCCUGUCCUGGGAGUCACUUCCAGCCCAAGAGCAUUUACUUGCCCCAGGUGCAAUGAACAUGGCCCAGGGGCCCUGUUCUAUUAAGCCAGCAAUUGCUGCCAGCCUGCUUGCCCUCUGUUGCUAGAGAGGCUAUUAUGAGCUUCCAUUACAAGCUGGUCCAAAUCCCAGAGCACCCAGAGAGAACAUCAUGACACACCUGUGGGGUUUGGGCUUUGCCUUGUAAAGUCCUGAGAAAAACAGGCAUUCACGGAGCACAAAGGAGGGCUUCUAAGGAAUCCUUUUUCUAGCCUUCCUAGCUGCUGACUGCGUUCAGUUGGGAGUCCCUCCAGCACAAGUAACGAGCAGAAAUCAUUUACAAUUGGGGACCCACGGCACUCCUGUAGCCCUUUCCUGCUCUGUCCUGUGGUGUAGGUCCCACCCAAUGCUGCAGUGCAGUUUUUGAGCUGUGCCUGAGUGAUUAAACUCACCUGAAAUCUGAAGGGCCAGCUGGGCUCCCCACUUUUGCCUGUGCCAGCUUCUUUGCUGUGCUCUCAGCUGUUCAGCUGCGGGUGAGCUGUUUGCAGGAUGACUCAGGAGGGAUGUGAGCCAGCUGUGCUGGCCCUGGCACUGUGAAGAUGGGCACUGAGCAGUGAAGUCUUGCACUGUGUGAUGCCAGCUGCGGACGAGGGACAAAGAGCCGGGUUGUCCUGUGUGCAGGGCUGGAGAAUGGGGUGUACAGGGAGUACCCUGAG